This 492-nucleotide ribosomal RNA is filed under the name uncultured bacterium. RNAcentral describes it as "partial 16S ribosomal RNA". It matches the Rfam family "Bacterial small subunit ribosomal RNA", at positions 28 to 507 of the family's 1533-position model. The record is from RNAcentral.
GAUGAACGCUGGCUACAGGCUUAACACAUGCAAGUCGAGGGGAAACGGCAUUGAGUGCUUGCACUCUUUGGACGUCGACCGGCGCACGGGAGAGUAACGCGUAUCCAACCUUCCCAUUACUGUGGGAUAACCUGCCGAAAGGCAGACUAAUACCGCAUAGUCUUCGAUGACGGCAUCAGAUUUGAAGUAACGUUUUAUCGGUAAUGGAUGGGGAUGCGUCUGAUUAGCUUGUUGGCGGGGUAACGGCCCACCAAGGCUACGAUCAGUAGGGGUUCUGAGAGGAAGCUCCCCCACAAUGGAAAUGAGACACGGUCCAAAAUCCGACGCGAGGGAGGAGUGAGGAACAUUAGUGAAUGGACGGAAGUCUGAACCAGCCAAGUAGCGUGCAGGAGGACGGCCCUAUGGGUUGUAAGCUGCUUUUGUAUGGGGAUUAAGUUAGGGACGUGUCACUAUUUGCAGGUACCAUACGAAUAAGGACCGGCUAAUUCCGUG